This 870-nucleotide ribosomal RNA is filed under the name uncultured Bacteroidota bacterium. RNAcentral describes it as "bacterial SSU rRNA". It matches the Rfam family "Bacterial small subunit ribosomal RNA", at positions 51 to 873 of the family's 1533-position model. The record is from RNAcentral. Lineage: Bacteria; Pseudomonadati; Bacteroidota.
ACACAUGCAAGUCGAGGGGUAACAGGAGAGAAUUUCGGUUUUCUUGCUGACGACCGGCGCACGGGUGAGUAACGCGUAUGCAACCUACCUUUUACAGGGGGAUAGCUUUCGGAAACGGAAAUUAAUAUCCCAUAACGCUGCACUGUGGCAUCACAGAGCAGUUAAAACUCCGGUGGUAAAAGAUGGGCAUGCGUAACAUUAGCUAGUUGGUAAGGUAACGGCUUACCAAGGCUACGAUGUUUAGGGGACCUGAGAGGGUGAUCCCCCACACUGGUACUGAGACACGGACCAGACUCCUACGGGAGGCAGCAGUGAGGAAUAUUGGUCAAUGGGCGCAAGCCUGAACCAGCCAUCCCGCGUGCAGGAAGACGGCCCUAUGGGUUGUAAACUGCUUUUCUGAAGGAAGAAUAGUUUCUACGUGUAGAGAUUUGACGGUACUUCAGGAAUAAGCAUCGGCUAACUCCGUGCCAGCAGCCGCGGUAAUACGGAGGAUGCAAGCGUUAUCCGGAUUCAUUGGGUUUAAAGGGUGCGUAGGCGGGCUAAUAAGUCAGUGGUGAAAUCUCUCGGCUCAACCGGGAAACUGCCAUUGAUACUGUUAGUCUUGAGUUCGGCUGAGGUAGGCGGAAUGUGUAAUGUAGCGGUGAAAUGCUUAGAUAUUACACAGAACACCAAUUGCGUAGGCAGCUUACUAGACCGACACUGACGCUGAGGCACGAAAGCGUGGGGAGCGAACAGGAUUAGAUACCCUGGUAGUCCACGCCGUAUACUAUGAUUACUCGUUGUUGGCGAUACACAGUCAGCGACCAAGCGAAAGCGAUAAGUAAUCCACCUGGGGGAGUAACACAUGCAAACACAUGCAAACACAUGCAA